This 392-nucleotide ribosomal RNA is filed under the name uncultured bacterium. RNAcentral's name for it is "partial 16S ribosomal RNA". It matches the Rfam family "Bacterial small subunit ribosomal RNA", at positions 523 to 918 of the family's 1533-position model. The record is from RNAcentral.
AUACGGAGGAUCCGAGCGUUAUCCGGAUUUAUUGGGUUUAAAGGGUGCGCAGGCGGCCAUUUAAGUCAGCGGUUAAAUCGUGGGGCUCAACCCCAUUCUGCCGUUGAUACUGGGUGGCUUGAUUGCGGUCGAGGUUGGCGGAAUUCGUUGUGUAGCGGUGAAAUGCAUAGAUAUGACGAAGAACACCGAUUGCGUAGGCAGCUGACCAGACCGCAAAUGACGCUCAUGCACGAAAGUGCGGGGAUCGAACAGGAUUAGAUACCCUGGUAGUCCGCACAGUAAACGAUGAAUACUCGCUGUUUGCGAUACACGGUAAGCGGCCAAGCGAAAGCGUUAAGUAUUCCACCUGGGGAGUACGCCGGCAACGGUGAAACUCAAAUGAAUUGACGGGG